CCUACGGGAGGCAGCAGUGGGGAAUAUUGCACAAUGGGGGAAACCCUGAUGCAGCGACGCCGCGUGAGUGAAGAAGUAAUUCGGUAUGUAAAGCUCUAUCAGCAGGGAAGUAAAUGACGGUACCUGAGUAGGAAGCCCCGGCUAACUACGUGCCAGCAGCCGCGGUAAUACGUAGGGGGCAAGCGUUAUCCGGAUUUACUGGGUGUUAAGGGAGCGUAGACGGUAGUGCAAGUCUGGAGUGAAAGGCGGGGGCUCAACCAUCGGACUGGUGUGGAAACUGUACGGCUGGAGUGCAGGAGAGGUAAGUGGAAUUCCUGGUGUAGCGGUGAAAUGCGUAGAUAUUAGGAGGAACACCAGUGGCGAAGGCGGCUUACUGGACUGUAACUGACGUUGAGGCUCGAAAGCGUGGGGAGCAAACAGGAUUAGAUACCCCAGUAGUC
This 440-nucleotide ribosomal RNA is filed under the name uncultured bacterium. Its description in RNAcentral is "partial 16S ribosomal RNA". It matches the Rfam family "Bacterial small subunit ribosomal RNA", at positions 338 to 795 of the family's 1533-position model. The record is from RNAcentral.